UUUAAGUGUAGUUGUAGGUUUUCGUAUCCAACUUUUGAUCGUUCAUCUUUUUUUUUAUGAUUAGUAUUUUUUUGUUAUUAGAUGAUAAAACAUUAAUAGCACUUUAUGUAUACUUUAUUUUUUAAAAUUUUUAAAUAAGAUAAAUGUUAAAUGUUAGAACACAAAGAUUCACCACUGCACUUAAA
Molecule: non-coding RNA, 185 nt
Organism: Oryza glaberrima (African rice)
Lineage: Eukaryota; Viridiplantae; Streptophyta; Magnoliopsida; Poales; Poaceae
Source: Rfam